RNAcentral lists this ribosomal RNA (506 nucleotides) under uncultured bacterium. RNAcentral describes it as "bacterial SSU rRNA". It matches the Rfam family "Bacterial small subunit ribosomal RNA", at positions 8 to 476 of the family's 1533-position model. The record is from RNAcentral.
AGAGUUUGAUCCUGGCUCAGAACGAACGCUGGCGGCGUGGAUUAGGCAUGCAAGUCGAGCGAGAAUCCGGUGCUUCAAGUUUUCGGACAAGAAGUGUUGGAGGAAAGCGGCGAACUGGUGAGUAAUACAUGGGUAAUCUGCCCUCAAGUCUGGGAUAGCUUGCCGAAAGGCGGGGUAAUACCGGAUGUGGUCGUUUCGCGGAUGCGGAACUAUCCAAAGGUGGGGAUCCUUCGGGACCUGCUGCUUGGGGAUGAGCCCUUGUCCUAUCAGCUUGUUGGUGAGGUAAUGGCUCACCAAGGCUUACGGGUAGCUGGUCUGAGAGGAUGGUCAGCCACACUGGGACUGAGACACUGCCCAGACUCCUACGGGAGGCUGCAGUCGAGAAUCAUUCGCAAUGCGCGCAAGCGUGACGAUGCGACGCCGCGUGCAGGAUGAAGGCCUUCGGGUUGUAAACUGCCGUCGAGAAGGAACAAUAGUUCCGGUGCUAAUAUCGUCGGAAUGNGANA